This 682-nucleotide small RNA is filed under the name Pongo abelii (Sumatran orangutan). RNAcentral describes it as "retained intron". The record is from RNAcentral. Lineage: Eukaryota; Metazoa; Chordata; Mammalia; Primates; Hominidae.
GCAGCCGGAGCCGGUGAUUCCAGUGAAGGACGCCACUUCUGACCUGGCCAUCAUUGCUCGGAAAGGCAGCCAAACAGUGCGGAAGCAUAGGGAGCAGAAGGAGCGCAAGAAGGCUCAGCACAAACACUGGGAACUGGCUGGGACCAAACUGGGAGAUAUAAUGGGCGUCAAGAAGGAGGAAGAGCCAGAUAAAGCUGUGACGGAGGAUGGGAAGGUGGACUACAGGACAGAGCAGAAGUUUGCAGAUCACAUGAAGAGAAAGAGCGAAGCAAGCAGUGAAUUUGCAAAGAAGAAGUCCAUCCUGGAGCAGAGGCAGUACCUGCCCAUCUUCGCAGUGCAGCAGGAGCUGCUCACUAUUAUCAGAGACAACAGCAUCGUGAUCGUGGUUGGGGAGACGGGGAGUGGUAAGACCACUCAGCUGACACAGUACCUGCAUGAAGAUGGUUACACGGACUAUGGGAUGAUUGGGUGUACCCAGCCCCGGCGUGUAGCUGCCAUGUCAGUGGCCAAGAGAGUCAGUGAAGAGAUGGGGGGAAACCUUGGCGAGGAGGUGAGUGGGCAUGGGGGCUGAGCCGUGUAGUUAUUCCCUAGUAGCUUCCACCCAUUUUUCUAAAGGGUGUGAUCUGCUAAGACUCGGACCCCAGUACGGGGUGUGCUGGUGGUGAGCCAGUGGCCAGGGCAU